This 210-nucleotide unclassified non-coding RNA is filed under the name Oryza sativa (Asian cultivated rice). RNAcentral describes it as "partial microRNA MIR478c-16 precursor". Lineage: Eukaryota; Viridiplantae; Streptophyta; Magnoliopsida; Poales; Poaceae. The record is from RNAcentral.
GGGCUUGUUUUGUUUGAUACCAAUUUAUUACCCUAUCAAAAUUUUGGUAACUUCAAUAGUAGCAAUUGCAUGUUUGGUGUGCUACCAAAUAUUACCCGCAAUAGUUCAAUUGAAUACUACCCAAUUUGAUAGUGCCAAAAUUUACCAAUGUUUUGGCACUAUCAAAAUUUUAGUAGGAUAAAAAUUGGCUCCAAACCAAACAAGCCCACA